AUUUCCUGUUUUAGUUUGAACAAUACCUUUCUAUAUAUAACAUACACACCACACUCACUAUGUAUUUCGUUUUCCGUGAUAACAUCGUAUACGUUUUAACUUCUAGAUUUUUGUAAAGGAACGACAAUUUAACUUCAGGUGGCAUAGGAGAGAACAAAACCCAAAUAUAUGAUGUUUCAAAUCAACACAGGAGUCAAACAUACUGAUUCAGGAGGAAUUAUUGAAUUGCCAACUCUUUUUAGAGUUAAUCUGACUGAAAGAAACAGUUUAAGCACCAAAUCAUGAAAAAUGAUACUAAAAGUCUAUUCCACAUUAAGCGUUUCCAGAUUAUGAAGGCAAGACAGCAAGACUCUUUAGAUGGCAGUUAGCUAUUAUUCUAAAAUCUUUUUGGCAGUACAUGUACUAGAAUAUAUCUCUAAGUUGACUGGUUGUCUAUUUCUCAUGUAUGCAUUAAGUUAAAUUAUGUCCCCUUACAUAAUCAGUAUACCUUUAUUGUGCUUUUCAUUGUCAGAAAAUCAAAACAAUUAAUAACAUUUGCAGGGAAA
This 545-nucleotide long non-coding RNA is filed under the name Mytilus galloprovincialis (Mediterranean mussel). The record is from RNAcentral. Lineage: Eukaryota; Metazoa; Mollusca; Bivalvia; Mytilida; Mytilidae.